This 205-nucleotide microRNA precursor is filed under the name Leersia perrieri. RNAcentral describes it as "MIR812 microRNA precursor family". It matches the Rfam family "MIR812 microRNA precursor family". Lineage: Eukaryota; Viridiplantae; Streptophyta; Magnoliopsida; Poales; Poaceae. The record is from Rfam by way of RNAcentral.
AAUGUUUGACACCGUUGAUUUUUAAGCGAAUAUUUGACCAUUCGUCUUAUUCAAAAAAUUUAUCCAAAUGUUAUUUACUUUGUUACGAGUUGUUUUAUUACAAACAAAAUUUUAAGCAUGACUUAUAUUUAUAAAUAUUUGGAUAAAAUUUUUGAAUAAAACGAAUGGUCAAACGUGCGCUAAAAAAUCAACGGUGUCAAACAUA